UCUCCCUUGUCCCCCUCGGCCAUGCUGAGCUGGAGCCUGGUAUGUCUGGGCCGGCCGGGUGAGGGCAGGCACAGCCCCUGGGUGCCACCCACACGGGGAGGGUGCACAGAGAGGGUAGAGCCCACGCCCAGCCACCCCCGGACUCCAGGUUUGAAAAAGGCCCGUGACUCUGGGUGGGAGGCAGCAGUCGGCAGCGACACUGACCUGCUGAGUGCAUGGGUGUUCGGGUGGGGGAGGGGGUCUGGUGACCCGGGGUCCCCGAGCCUCGCGGCUCCCCAGCAAUUGUCAUGAUUGCCCAGAUGUCCGCACAUAGCCGCCUGUGUGGAAGGGGCUCAGUUCCAGAGCUGGUGGCUGGGAAGCCUGUUCUGGGCUGAGAAACUAUUUUCUGGAACUUGGCUAAUCGAAAACCGGAAACAGCCCAGCUGUCCUUCGACUGGGAAACAGAUAAACGGCCCAGGCCCGUGCCUGCGAGGGGUGGCGCGCGGCGAUUCAAAGGCUGCGGCCCCGUGGGUGAGCCUCGCGGGCAACGUGCCGGCUCCAAAGACCGCACGCCGCCUGUUCCACCGCCGUGGCCGAACCACGGCCACGCAAAGCGCAGCGGAUGCUGCCGGUGGCCCGGGGGGGCGGGGGGUGAGCUGGACGCACAGGGGAGUUGGGGGUGUCGGGACGCACAGCGGUUACGUGACCACGUGCGUGUGUAAGACUCUCAGAACCGAACGCGGAGAAGGGUGAGCUUUGCCGCGUGUCCGUUAUACGAUAAUAAAACAGCAAAAAGGAUUCUUUUCCUUUGCUGCAGACACAGUCGGCAGCCUGGGACGGGUCUGGGCCAGACGCCCCGCUGGGAAACCCUGUCCCUCUGUCCCUCUCUGGGCUCUCAGGUGGCUCUCUGCCCCGCCCUCCCCCCCCCCCGCCCGGCCCAGCCUCCUGGCCUCCCUGGCCUGUUGGGGACUUUCCCCAAACACCAAAAGCAAACCUGCCCCCAAAAGAUGCCGGUGUGGGGGGCGGGGGUGGAGGUCGGAGCUGGCAUCUCACAGCUACUCAGCUCCCGGGCCCGCUUUCCCAUUCCAGUCAGAUGGCUGGAAGCUGACGGGCUAAUGAAGCAUCGGGGCCCCUUCCAAGGUGGGGGCUUCCCAUUUGCCCUUCCAUAGCAGUAACUGAGAUUAUAGGGAGGCUCCCGGGAGGGGUCUGUCCCCCAUUUCCCGCCGGCAUCCGCCUCCCUGUCCCCCCCAGCUCCAGAGCCACAUGCAGGGCCCCACCCCCCGAGCCCCCCACUCCCUGGCCACCAACAGCCCCCUGCGGGAAUCGCGCGCCGAUGGGAUUAGCGACUGUGGAUGGGUCUCCCUCCCUCCCUCCGUCUGCAGGAGUCACGAACCUUUGCCUCGGCCCCCGUAGCACGUGGCUGCUCUCACGGUCGCCUGUGUGUGCAGUGUCGCAUCGUGCUCUUGGCCCCCUGUAACCGUGCUACGUAUGUCCCCCCACAGGGCAGGGGAGCCCCCACCGGCCCCCCUCGAGGAUUGGGAGUCUCUCACCUCCUUGUGGGCCCCGGAGGGGGGGCUCUUUUGGUGGAGACACACGUUUGAUGAGCACCUACUGUGUGCCAGCCCCGUGUGGAGGGUCCGGGCUGUGCGGUGCCGAGGCCACCAGACAGACAGACUGCCGUGCAGCCGGGAGGGCGUGAAUCACAGUGACAGCAACUGCUUUCCAGUGUCCGUGUGCCCGGCUCUGGGUGCUUCCGGAACGUUCUCAUUUUACAGAUGCAGAAGCAGAGGCCAGGAGAGCCCGGGGCCACCUGCCCGGGUUGGGAGGGCGCUCGGAGCGUCCCAACUGUGGCUGCACAGGAGAGCAUCCCUUCUGACCCCUGCCCUCACUCCUGCCCUCACCCCUCCCCAGACCAGGUGUAGGAGCAUCCUGCAUUUUGUAACGUUCCCAGGCGAUUUGCUGAGCAGCCUGGAUCCCUGGAUGGACCCCUCCGCACUCCCUUGACUGUCCUGAAAUGAAAAUCACAGGAAAUAAAACUCACUUCGCGUAGGAUCUCGAAAAAAGUCAAUAUAACGUUCUGAGUGUAAUAUAAAGGGUAUAUUACCAUGGUUAAAGGGGAAUCAUUGAUACUCAGGUACUGUGUCUUUCGAUGUGUGAGCGCCCGCCCCAUCUCCAGCAGGAAGCCUGGCCCCGGGGCACGGAGCCGCAGUCCGGCCGCAGCUGGAGGUGCCCGGGAGACUGUGGGCGGCCGUUGCCGCGUCUGUGACAUGACUUCCCCAAACGGUGACGUUCCCAACAGAGCAAAGCCUCUUACCCUCAGGUCUGACCCCAGGCUCUUGCAAAGCCGCCCUCCCGUAAGUGAGCUCCGAUGGGACGCAGCCCUUCCCACGGCCCCCAGGACACAGCCAGGACAUCGCGCUUUGAGGAGCAGCCAGCCUGCGCCCUCCACCCUGCCCCGUCCCACCCCGCUGACCGGUUGCCCUGCCCCGAGUUUCAGGGGUCAGAUCCCUGCACACGCUGGAGAGGAAUUUUGUUUUAUUGAGAUGGAAUUCACAUGCGAUGGACGGAACGAGUUUAAAGUGCACAGUCCAGUGGCAUUUAGCGCGGUCACGGUGCGGCACAGCUAAGCACCUCUUUACCCGGUUCCGAAACCUCUUCAUCCACCCCAGGAGGAGCCCCGGCCCCGAGCCCGAGCCCCAGCCACCGCCAACCCGCCUCUUGCC
Molecule: long non-coding RNA, 2702 nt
Organism: Herpailurus yagouaroundi (jaguarundi)
Lineage: Eukaryota; Metazoa; Chordata; Mammalia; Carnivora; Felidae
Exons: 4
Source: RefSeq, a predicted model, not a curated record